RNAcentral lists this ribosomal RNA (466 nucleotides) under uncultured bacterium. RNAcentral's name for it is "bacterial SSU rRNA". It matches the Rfam family "Bacterial small subunit ribosomal RNA", at positions 329 to 792 of the family's 1533-position model. The record is from RNAcentral.
UGCCAGACUCCUACGGGAGGCAGCAGUGAGGAAUAUUGGUCAAUGGACGGAAGUCUGAACCAGCCAUGCCGCGUGCAGGAAGACGGCUCUAUGAGUUGUAAACUGCUUUUGUACAAGGGUAAACCUGAAUACGUGUAUUCAGCUGAAAGUACUGUACGAAUAAGGAUCGGCUAACUCCGUGCCAGCAGCCGCGGUAAUACGGAGGAUCCAAGCGUUAUCCGGAUUUAUUGGGUUUAAAGGGUGCGUAGGCGGUUUUAUAAGUUAGAGGUGAAAUCUCGGGGCUCAACUCCGAAAUUGCCUCUAAUACUGUAGGACUAGAGAGUAGUUGCGGUAGGCGGAAUGUAUGGUGUAGCGGUGAAAUGCUUAGAGAUCAUACAGAACACCGAUUGCGAAGGCAGCUUACCAAACUAUAUCUGACGUUGGGGCGCGAAAGCGUGGGUAGCAAACAGGAUUAGAUACCCCCGUA